Molecule: long non-coding RNA, 368 nt
Filed under: Chinchilla lanigera (long-tailed chinchilla)
Lineage: Eukaryota; Metazoa; Chordata; Mammalia; Rodentia; Chinchillidae
Description: lncRNA (ENSCLAG00000027884.1)
Source: RNAcentral
AUGAUCCUCCUGUCUCAGCCUCCUGAGUGCUGGGAUUACAGUCAUGCAUCGCUAUGCCUUGCUCUGCCCAAAGGUUCCUGUCUUGUUUGGUCUCUGGCAUAUCCACAUUUAUGCCCCUACACUUUCAUGACUUCUGUGUUUCUCCCUGUGAGCACUGCUGCCAACAGGUAUGCUUUCUUUUUGAGCCUUUUAUCAGUUCCCUGUUUGGCCUCCUGGUUCCAAAUUUACCACCCUAUGUACAUGCCCAAUUGCACAACUAUUAAUUGUCUCUUUGGCUGGCCACCCAAUAUCAAAGGAAGGCAAAUCAACAAUAUAAGGAAUUUUAAAAAAUGUUAGUGACCACACAUAGACUUAUUACCCCAUACAGG